Oncorhynchus keta (chum salmon) is the source of this 690-nucleotide long non-coding RNA. RefSeq lists it as uncharacterized. Lineage: Eukaryota; Metazoa; Chordata; Actinopteri; Salmoniformes; Salmonidae. The record is from RefSeq and is a predicted model, not a curated record. The transcript has 3 exons.
GUGUGUGUGUGUGUGUGUGUGUGUGUGUGUGUGUGUGUGUGUGUGUGUGUGUGUGUGUGUGUGUGUGUGUGUGUGUGUGUGUAAGACCUGGGUUCAAAUAAUAUUAAGGGUAUGUGAAUUACUUUCAAAGACAUUUAGAAUAAUUGAGAUAUUUUGUAAUUGAUAAGACAAUUAGCUGAAAAUACUCAAACACUCCCAUGCAUUUAACCGAGGCAUAUGGAAAUCGUUUUUGAAAAAACUUGCAAAUAGUAGACUAUUUAUAGGAAAUCAUUCGAAAACACUUUCAAAUACUUUCAACAGAAAGUGAUUCAGGCAACGUUAUUAAAUACACAGAAAAUAAGUAUUUAAAUAACAAAUACACAUGUAUUUGAACCCAGGUUUGGUGUGUGUGACGUACCACUGACGAUGAGGUUGAGGUAAAAGACAGUGUGUGAGUGUGUGUGUGUGACGUACCACUGACGAUGAGGUUGAGGUAAAAGACAGUGUGUGAGUGUGUGUGUGUGACGUACCACUGACGAUGAGGUUGAGGUAAAAGACAGUGUGUGAGUGUGUGUGUGUGACGUACCACUGACGAUGAGGUUGAGGUAAAAGACAGUGUGUGAGUGUGUGUGUGUGACGUACCACUGACGAUGAGGUUGAGGUAAAAGACAGUGUGUGAGUGUGUGUGUGGGACGUACCACUGAUGAUGAG